This 489-nucleotide ribosomal RNA is filed under the name uncultured bacterium. Its description in RNAcentral is "partial 16S ribosomal RNA". The record is from RNAcentral.
ACGGUUACCUUGUUACGACUUAGCCCCAGUCACCGGUCUUGCCUUAGGGCGCUCCUUGCGGUCACGCACUUCAGGCACUCCCGGCUUCCAUGGCUUGACGGGCGGUGUGUACAAGGCCCGGGAACGUAUUCACCGCGCCGUGGCUGAUGCGCGAUUACUAGCGAAUCCAGCUUCAUGGAGUCGGGUUGCAGACUCCAAUCCGAACUGAGACAGGUUUUCGGGUUCUGCGCCGGGUCACCCCGUGGCUUCCCGCUGUACCUGCCAUUGUAACACGUGUGUCGCCCCGGACGUAAGGGCCGUGCUGAUUUGACGUCAUCCCCGCCUUCCUCACAGCUUGCGCCGGCAGUCCCGACAGAGUCCUCAACGCUACUUGUUAGCAACUGUCGGUAGGGGUUGCGCUCGUUAUGGCACUUAAGCCGACACCUCACGGCACGAGCUGACGACAACCAUGCAGCACCUCGUCAGUUGCCCCGAAAGGAAUAUCCGUUU